RNAcentral lists this ribosomal RNA (595 nucleotides) under uncultured Bacteroidota bacterium. RNAcentral describes it as "bacterial SSU rRNA". It matches the Rfam family "Bacterial small subunit ribosomal RNA", at positions 31 to 668 of the family's 1533-position model. Lineage: Bacteria; Pseudomonadati; Bacteroidota. The record is from RNAcentral.
GAUACGCUACGGCGAGCCCUAAUACCACUGCAAGUUUGAACGGUGUCUUCGCGACAUAGUGGCGCACGGGUGCGUAACACGUAUGCACCUACCUUACAUUUGGGGGAUAGCCUUUCGAAAGGGAGAUUAAUACCGCAUAACCACAGCUAGCUGGGCAUCCAGCAGCUGUUAAAGAUUUAUCCGAUGUAAGCUGGCGCAUGCGUCCAAUUAGCUAGUUGGUGAGGUAACGGCUCACCAAGGCAAUGAUUGGUAGGGGAACUGAGAGGUCAAUCCCCCACACUGGCACUGAGCAUACGGGCCAGACUCCUACGGGAGGCAGCAGUAGGGAAUAUUGGGCAAUGGACGCAAGUCUGACCCAGCCAUGCCGCGUGCAGGAUGAAGGCGUUAUGCGUUGUAAACUGCUUUUAUACAGGAAGAAACGACUCUUGCGAGAGGCAUUGACGGUACUGUAUGAAUAAGCACCGGCUAACUCCGUGCCAGCAGCCGCGGUAAUACAGGAGGGUGCACAGCAGUUUGUCCGGAUUUAUAUAGGGUCUACACGGGUGCGCAGGUGGUUCAAUUAAAGUACAAGUGGUAGAAAGACGGCACCUCAACG